Molecule: ribosomal RNA, 618 nt
Filed under: uncultured Acidobacteriota bacterium
Lineage: Bacteria; Pseudomonadati; Acidobacteriota
Description: bacterial SSU rRNA
Rfam family: Bacterial small subunit ribosomal RNA
Source: RNAcentral
CUCAGACAUGCAAGUCGAACGAUUAAAGCUCCCUUCGGGGAGUGCAUAAAGUGGCGCACGGGUGAGUAACACGUAAGUAAUCUGCCCUCGAGUGGGGAAUAACAUCGGGAAACCGAUGCUAAUACCGCAUAAUGCAGCGGCACCGCAAGGUGACAGUUGUUAAAGAUUUAUCGCUUGAGGAGGAGCUUGCGGCAGAUUAGCUAGUUGGUAAGGUAAUGGCUUACCAAGGCUACGAUCUGUAACCGGUCUAAGAGGACGGUCGGUCACACUGACACUGAAUAACGGGUCAGACUCCUACGGGAGGCAGCAGUCGGGAAUUUUGGGCAAUGGGGGAAACCCUGACCCAGCAACGCCGCGUGAAGGAUGAAGUAUUUCGGUAUGUAAACUUCGAAAGAAUAGGAAGAAUUAAUGACGGUACUAUUUAUAAGGUCCGGCUAACUACGUGCCAGCAGCCGCGGUAAUACGUAGGGACCAAGCGUUGUUCUGAUUUACUGGGCGUAAAGGGCGCGUAGGCGGCGUGGUAAGUCACUUGUGAAAUCUCCGAGCUUAACUCGGAACGGCCAAGUGAUACUGCUGUGCUAGAGUGCGGAAGGGGCAAUCGGAAUUCUUGGUGUAGCG